Molecule: long non-coding RNA, 403 nt
Organism: Symphalangus syndactylus (siamang)
Lineage: Eukaryota; Metazoa; Chordata; Mammalia; Primates; Hylobatidae
Source: RefSeq, a predicted model, not a curated record
UGGCAUGAUCUCGGCUCACUGCAACCUCCGCCUCCCAGGUUCAAGUGAUUCUCCUGCCUCAGCCUCCUAAGUAACAGGGAUUACAGGUGGGUUUUGAGCAGCCAUCUUGAACUGUGAGGUGGGAACCAUGUGCUGAGGAGGGUGGAGCGUGGGUGGCCAAACCCCUGCAAUAGCCAUAACAGCCCUACAGUGGAUCUUCCACAGGACAGAGAAAGAAAUGAAGAAACUUCUGUCUUGUUAAAUCAUCACAAAGGCCAGAUCUAAUUGAAAUGUCUCUAAAAUUCUGCCAGCCUGAAGAACUUCACUUACGGGAGUUUGCUGACAAAGAGUUCAAACUCUGGAGUGUAGUGGUGAGAUCACAGCUCCCUGCAGCCUCAACCUCCCAGGCUCAAGUGAUCCUCCC